AUUGAACGCUGGCGGCAGGCCUAACACAUGCAAGUCGAGCGGAUGAGGGUAGCUUGCUACCUGAUUCAGCGGCGGACGGGUGAGUAAUGCCUAGGAAUCUGCCUGGUAGUGGGGGACAACGUUUCGAAAGGAACGCUAAUACCGCAUACGUCCUACGGGAGAAAGUGGGGGAUCUUCGGACCUCACGCUAUCAGAUGAGCCUAGGUCCGAUUAGCUAGUUGGUGGGGUAAAGGCUCACCAAGGCGACGAUCCGUAACUGGUCUGAGAGGAUGAUCAGUCACACUGGAACUGAGACACGGUCCAGACUCCUACGGGAGGCAGCAGUGGGGAAUAUUGGACAAUGGCGCAAGCCUGAUCCAGCCAUGCCGCGUGUGUGAAGAAGGUCUUCGGAUUGUAAAGCACUUUAAGUUGGGAGGAAGGGCAGUAAGUUAAUACCUUGCUGUUUUGACGUUACCGACAGAAUAAGCACCGGCUAACUCUGUGCCAGCAC
Molecule: ribosomal RNA, 490 nt
Filed under: uncultured bacterium
Lineage: Bacteria
Description: bacterial SSU rRNA
Rfam family: Bacterial small subunit ribosomal RNA
Source: RNAcentral